This 253-nucleotide ribosomal RNA is filed under the name uncultured bacterium. Its description in RNAcentral is "partial 16S ribosomal RNA". It matches the Rfam family "Bacterial small subunit ribosomal RNA", at positions 524 to 776 of the family's 1533-position model. The record is from RNAcentral.
UACGGAGGGUGCAAGCGUUAAUCGGAAUUACUGGGCGUAAAGCGCACGUAGGUGGUUUGCUAAGCCAGCUGUGAAAUCCCCGGGCUCAACCUGGGCACUGCAGUUGGAACUGGCAAGCUAGAGUAGGGUAGAGGGGUGUGGAAUUCCAGGUGUAGCGGUGAAAUGCGUAGAUAUCUGGAGGAACAUCAGUGGCGAAGGCGACACCCUGGACUCAUACCGACACUGAGGUGCGAAAGCGUGGGGAGCAAACAGG